CUUCUUCUCAGGCUUAACUUCCAAUUUCUCCGCCUCUUCCCCACCCAGUGGUGCAGGGGGACAGGACAUGGGAGUUGCAGUCUGUUCAUCACACGUUUUCUUUGCCACUCCUUCUCCUUUAGGAAGAAGACUUAAACUCUUCACCUGCUCCACUGUGGGGUCCCUUUCACAGAAAGCAGUCUUCCACAGAUUUCUCCAACGUGGGUCAUUUCCAGGAGGUGUAGUUCUUCAGGAAUGGACAGUUCCACUGUGGGUUCCCCACAGGGCCUAAGUCCCACCAGCAAACAUGCUCAUAUAUGGAGUUCCCAUGGGUCUUUACUAGCAAGAUGAGCCUUCAGGAAUGCUAGCAAGAUGAGCCUUCAGGAAUGCCAGAGACUACAGGCAGAGUUUAGAGCAAGGAGGUUGUGCCUUUGGUGGAAGAAGACCAGAAAGACUGCAAUAACCUGGAGAAAAGGGUGACAGGAACCUCAUGGAGCUCAACAAAGACAAUGCAGCUUUUCCUAGCCCCUUUUCUAACCUUGUGUUAGACCUAAGGAAGCCCAUCUGAUCUGGCUGCCAAGAUGAGUCAGCAGAAGAGCCUCUUUAUUUCUCCACAUGGUCUGAACCACUGACACUUCCAGAGAAGAGAAAUUGUUGCUUAGACACUGGAAUUUCCUUUGCUGCAGUCAGGAGAGGUGGGCUGGGGAUUAAAUGAAUUUGAAAGAACAUUCUUGUGGGGAGUUGUCUGCUGAAAUGCCAGAAAUUCAGUGCGAAGAGAAGUGCAGAAAUAAAACUAAAGUCACAUUUCUCUAAUUUCAGAACAUGUCAGGAAAAAAACAAAGUAUCUUUAUCUGUGUGUAUUUAGGUUGCAUUCUGCCUGUAGUCUAAUUCAAGAUAAUACAGGGAGAGAAAAAAUUGAAGCCACAUCACAUCCAUAGAAAACUCUGGCACGUUUAGCAGACAAGACAGUUUCUAGCUUCAAGAAGCAUGAAGAUUUGAGUCACAUUUCUUGGAUGCACUCAUUCUCUUGGCAAGCAGUACAUGCCAUAGUCCUCAUUGUUGAGAAAUCUAAAUCCCCUUUUACUUCAACAUACCCAUACUCAGUCUAAGAUGGCUUUUGACCUUUUCAUAAGUGAAAAAGUAUCGUGCUG
Molecule: long non-coding RNA, 1130 nt
Organism: Pogoniulus pusillus (Red-fronted tinkerbird)
Lineage: Eukaryota; Metazoa; Chordata; Aves; Piciformes; Lybiidae
Exons: 4
Source: RefSeq, a predicted model, not a curated record